GCAGGCCAUUGACCAGAUCGAUCUGGCUCGGUUGCAGGUCGGGCAAGGUGUCCAAGGCGCCGCGCCAGCGUUCGAGGUCACCGUGGCCUUUU
This 92-nucleotide transfer RNA is filed under the name compost metagenome. RNAcentral's name for it is "tRNA-Cys". The record is from RNAcentral.